GUGCCAGCCGCCGCGGUAAUACCAGCACCCCGAGUGGUUGGGACGAUUAUUGGGCCUAAAGCAUCCGUAGCCGGUUCUGCAAGUCCUCCGUUAAAUCCACCUGCUCAACAGAUGGGCUGCGGAGGAUACCGCAGAGCUAGGAGGCGGGAGAGGCAAACGGUACUCAGUGGGUAGGGGUAAAAUCCAUUGAUCCACUGAAGACCACCAGUGGCGAAGGCGGUUUGCCAGAACGCGCUCGACGGUGAGGGAUGAAAGCUGGGGGAGCAAACCGGAUUAGAUACCCCCGUAGUCC
This 292-nucleotide ribosomal RNA is filed under the name uncultured bacterium. RNAcentral's name for it is "partial 16S ribosomal RNA". It matches the Rfam family "Archaeal small subunit ribosomal RNA", at positions 455 to 747 of the family's 1478-position model. The record is from RNAcentral.